This is a long non-coding RNA of Herpailurus yagouaroundi (jaguarundi), 3077 nucleotides long. RefSeq lists it as uncharacterized. The record is from RefSeq and is a predicted model, not a curated record. The transcript is spliced from 2 exons. Lineage: Eukaryota; Metazoa; Chordata; Mammalia; Carnivora; Felidae.
UCCAAAAUUCCCCUGGUUGGUAUAAGUCUGGAGAAACCAGGCAUAAGCUUCCAGGAGUCUCUUCCCACAGCGUCACUUGGAACAUACUAAAUUCCCCAAGUAAAGAUGUGACGACAUGUGUGGAGUGUUACCGGUCAGGGAAGCUCAUCUCAGCCUUGGAGUCCAGGGUUUUUAAUGAGAAUCAGUCGUGUGGCCAUAUAGCCCCUGCAUGAUUUACCUCAGCUACUGAAACCCCAGACCACCAUAAAUCACAUUGUUAGGACUAAGCCUCUAGACAACUGGCACAGCUUGGCUCCAGGCCAAAGAAAUGCAAAACCACUCUUAUGAAAUGGAACAUUUCAUGAGCUCGGGUCCAGGAGCCAGUCGUAAAAAUAGGUCUUUCUGGGGAACGUGCCUUCCCCACACAAACAUCCUCAGCUUAAGAAGGGCAAAAUGAGCAGUGGCUUUUGAAACUCAGAGAUGAAGAUUUGUGAAGCCUUCCAGGUUAGGUCAUUUGGACUAGCAGAGGUGCUAGCCAAGAGUCAGAGAAAUGCAAGAUGGACAGUAAAGGGUGGGAGCCUAGCUAUCUGAUGUGACUGAAGUCCAGCUGCGUUGGCAGGGAUUACACCGCAUUCCACUCACCUUCCUCUCCUCAAUUUUCCCAGGAAAAGAAACCUGCUGGAGACCGCAAAGAGGUGUCCCCAAACUCUUGAAAGCACUUGACUCAAGCAAUGCAAAGGGUAGCAUCUGGGGACCUGGCCGCGCUGCCCAGAUUCCCUUCAGGACAAAGGUGCUUAUCACCAGCCACCAUGACUUCUCACCGCUGAUGCUACGGAAGACACAAAAGAGAAAGUGUGUUCAUGUCUCCAAACAGUUUCCUAUGGCUGCAAGUACUCAUCACAUUGGUCAUCACGGACAGACAGUACCUAACUCAGCAGGCAUAGGAGUCACAAGCCAGAAACACUGACUUAGAUAAUUAUGAAUAUUUGUCUCUGCCUCAAAGCAUAAAACCAAGAGAAAAUGGAAGGCAAGGCCUUUAGGCGCUAGCAUAUUUAUUACUUUCGGUGUAUUUGCUUACCUACAUCUCAACAUUUAGGAAGAAGAAAGCAUUUGAUGAAGCAACUGUUGAGAGUCGCCUCCCAAGCUCUCCAGACUCCAUCCUGCCAGUCCUGGAGAAUGCAGGGUGCUGAGCCUUGGGGAGUACUGCCAGUUAUUUUGCCUAUUUAGAUGCCUUACUAUCAGAAGACGACACUGACAGCGACUUUUGAAAACUGGCGACUAAGAGAAUCCUAAAGAUAGAGCCUACUGAGAAAUGGUCUUUGCACCAAGAAUGCAAGCCAUCUUCUCCUGUCUGUGAGAUCGUGCUCAGAAAGGAUCUAAUUACUGCUCUCACGGAUUUGGCGACCACAGAUAGAGAAGACUCACCUGCCCAGUGGCUUUGCGGACGGUGGGGGAAACCUCAAGAAUCAAGACCAGGGCUUAUGAAGAAGUGAUCAGUCCACGUUUUCACAUUGUGACUAAUGUUUGGAGACUGAUCAGGGUGAAUGUGGACCAAAGCAAAGGAGUAUCAAGACCUGGAUUGAUAAUACACACACACACACACACACACACACACACACACACACACACAUAGAUGUUUGACUAUUUGCGUAACUGGCAAGUGACUCAUUAGCCCACCCAGUAGUAACAAGACACGAGGACGUCAUUGAAAUUAAUUCUCCUUUGCUUCAAGGGGUCAGGGAAGAGAGCAGAAAAGGAAGACUUGUAAGUCAGGUACACAGUAUAAAUAAGAGCUGGUGGUGGGUGAGAUGAAAACUGCUCCAUAAAGCAAGGUGCACGUUAGGAAUAGGGACAGUGGAGCGUGCUGGUAAGCUCAGUCUUUGCUCCUGGCAUUGUGGCACCUGGGGACCCCUCCCGUGUGGGGGAUCCAGCACUCUGUACUACUCACUACAGAAGUCAGAGGGAUUUGAAGGGUCAGUGUGCAGUGUGAAUUGAAUACCAGUAACAAGAUGCACCGCGUAAGAAUUUCAUUUCAUUCUGAUGUAAGAACAGUUGUGCCACCCCGUGAGUUGUGACCUCUUACCUCUGGGCUAGAAGUCCAGGGCAAGUGGACUGGUCUUUAAGGCGGUGACCUUGAGGACGGACCACUCCCUUUUCACAUUUCACUGGCCCACACUAAUUCCUAGCUGCAAGGGAGGCUGAGAAAUGUAGUCUUCAGUUAGGUGGACCAUGCCCAAUAAAUACUAAAAAGAAAGGAGAGAAUAGUUCCUAGAGUGCAGUUAGGAGUUUUUGCGGCAAGGAUAUGUUGUGUCUCUAUGUAGCUGGAUGUCAGCACAUGACCUAGACUUAGACAAGAUCAGUUCUACUGGGCGCUUUGGGUUGGAGACUUGGUCGUAGCUAAGGGAAGAGUAUUUAGUUCCUGCCACCUUCUAAGCCCGAUUCCUUCUGGGCCGCUUUCUGGUAGUAAACACCUCUCAGGACAGUGUGUGCAAACGUUUCAUGGUAUGUGUUGAGAAAUAGGAUUUGUUGGGAAAGUUUAUGAGCAAAGGGCCAGUGAGAAAAGACACUCCUGGCCCCGGACCCUCAUUAUCCCCCUGAGGGGCACAUGGGGGUAGGAUUCUCUGGUGAACGUGCCAAGUACUUUGUUCUGACGGUUCCCCUUGUUAGGCAGUAGUCACCAACACUCUCCGUGCAGAGCUAAACACAGCACUUGUUAGAAGGCACACUGCAUUUGGGGUGCCUGUUGUUUGGACGGAUUGUCGGGGAAGGCCAGCCGCUGUUGGGAUGUGUGGCUGUGGCAAUUCUAGGUCCUCGCGCCACGGAAACUCAGUUUGAGGACGCCUCCUGCUGUACCCCCACUCAGGUCCUUCACUGCCCAGCUCCCAGGAUUGCACCGGAUGACCUGGCUUUUCAGACCACACCUCUCCACGUCUCCUACUGAUUUUAGGAACUGACGACUCUUCUCCUAAUAACUCAUUUCUCUGCUUGUACGUGGAAUUGGUUUCUAUUUUGUACAACCAUGAUAACUGCCUCAUAGACUGUAUGUAAUUCAGGUAGACAUGAAAUUUAAACGAACAAUUGAAUUACAUAGUUUGGAA